RNAcentral lists this ribosomal RNA (301 nucleotides) under uncultured bacterium. Its description in RNAcentral is "partial 16S ribosomal RNA". It matches the Rfam family "Bacterial small subunit ribosomal RNA", at positions 509 to 807 of the family's 1533-position model. The record is from RNAcentral.
CAGUCGCCACGGGAAAACGGAGGAUCCAAGCGUUAUCCGGAUUUAUUGGGUUUAAAGGGUGCGUAGGCGGCCUGUUAAGUCAGGGGUGAAAGACGGUAGCUUAACUAUCGCAGUGCCCUUGAUACUGAUGGGCUUGAAUGUACUAGAGGUAGGCGGAAUGUGACAAGUAGCGGUGAAAUGCAUAGAUAUGUCACAGAACACCAAUUGCGAAGGCAGCUUACUAUGGUAUGAUUGACGCUGAGGCACGAAAGUGUGGGGAUCAAACAGGAUUAGAUACCCCCGUAGUCCCUGUCUCUUAUAC